ACGGAAGGCAGCAGUAGGGAAUAUUGCACAAUGGGGGUAACCCUGAUGCAGCGACGCCGCGUGAGUGAUGAAGUAUUUCGGUACGUAAAACUCUAUCAGCAGGGAAGAUAAUGACGGUACCUGACUAAGAAGCCCCGGCUAACUACGUGCCAGCAGCCGCGGUAAUACGUAGGGGGCAAGCGUUAUCCGGAUUUACUGGGUGUAAAGGGAGUGUAGGUGGCCUGGCAAGCCAGAUGUGAAAGCCCGCAGCUCAACUGCGGGACUGCAUUUGGAACUGUUAGGCUUGAGUGCAGGAGAGGAAAGUGGAAUUCCUAGUGUAGCGGUGAAAUGCGUAGAUAUUAGGAAGAACACCAGUGGCGAAGGCGGUUAGCUGGACAAUAACUGACGCUGAGGCGCGAAAGCGUGGGUAGCAAACAGGAUUAGAUACCCUGGUA
RNAcentral lists this ribosomal RNA (434 nucleotides) under uncultured Lachnospiraceae bacterium. RNAcentral describes it as "bacterial SSU rRNA". It matches the Rfam family "Bacterial small subunit ribosomal RNA", at positions 341 to 792 of the family's 1533-position model. Lineage: Bacteria; Bacillati; Bacillota; Clostridia; Lachnospirales; Lachnospiraceae. The record is from RNAcentral.